UACAGAGGGGGCAAGCGUUGUUCGGAAUUACUGGGCGUAAAGGGCGCGUAGGCGGCCACCUAAGUCAGACGUGAAAUCCCUCGGCUCAACCGGGGAACUGCGUCUGAAACUGGUUGGCUUGAGUGCAGGAGAGGAAUGCGGAAUUCCAGGUGUAGCGGUGAAAUGCGUAGAUAUCUGGAGGAACACCGGUGGCGAAGGCGGCAUUCUGGACCGGUAUUGACGCUGAGGCGCGAAAGCCAGGGGAGCAAACGGG
This 253-nucleotide ribosomal RNA is filed under the name uncultured bacterium. RNAcentral's name for it is "partial 16S ribosomal RNA". It matches the Rfam family "Bacterial small subunit ribosomal RNA", at positions 524 to 776 of the family's 1533-position model. The record is from RNAcentral.